GUGGGGAAUCUUGCGCAAUGGGCGAAAGCCUGACGCAGCCAUGCCGCGUGUAUGAUGAAGGUCUUAGGAUUGUAAAAUUCUUUCACCGGGGACGAUAAUGACGGUACCCGGAGAAGAAGCUCCGGCUAACUUCGUGCCAGCAGCCGCGGUAAUACGAAGGGGGCUAGCGUUGCUCGGAAUUACUGGGCGUAAAGGGCGCGUAGGCGGACAGCUUAGUCAGAGGUGAAAGCCCAGGGCCCAACCUUGGAAUUGCCUUUGAUACUGGCUGUCUUGAGUUUGGGAGAGGUGAGUGGAACUCCGAGUGUAGAGGUUAAAUUCGUAGAUAUUCGGAAGAACACCAGUGGCGUAGGCGACUCACUGGCCCAAUUCUGACGCUGAGGCGCGAAAGCGUGGGGAGCAAACAGGAUUAGAAACCCGUGUAGUCC
RNAcentral lists this ribosomal RNA (425 nucleotides) under uncultured bacterium. RNAcentral's name for it is "partial 16S ribosomal RNA". It matches the Rfam family "Bacterial small subunit ribosomal RNA", at positions 354 to 796 of the family's 1533-position model. The record is from RNAcentral.